RNAcentral lists this transfer RNA (72 nucleotides) under Camelus bactrianus (Bactrian camel). It matches the Rfam family "tRNA". From Rfam's summary of the family: Transfer RNA (tRNA) molecules are approximately 80 nucleotides in length. Their secondary structure includes four short double-helical elements and three loops (D, anti-codon, and T loops). Lineage: Eukaryota; Metazoa; Chordata; Mammalia; Artiodactyla; Camelidae. RNAcentral also lists the same sequence under 1 other name. The record is from Rfam by way of RNAcentral.
AGGGCGAUAGCUCAGGGCUAGAGCGCAUGCUUAGCAUGCAUGAGGUCCUGGGCUUGAUCCCCAGUACUUCUG